Long non-coding RNA from Ricinus communis (castor bean), 896 nucleotides. RefSeq lists it as uncharacterized. The transcript has 3 exons. NCBI's taxonomy places the organism in Eukaryota, Viridiplantae, Streptophyta, Magnoliopsida, Malpighiales, Euphorbiaceae. The record is from RefSeq and is a predicted model, not a curated record.
CAAGGGAUCAUAGAAUCUUGCUACUAGGGAAAUAAUUGUGCUCUUUCCACACCCACUGCUACCAACUAAUGCCAUGGUUUUACCAGCAGGGAUUGACAAUGAAAGGCCUCUAAGUAUCAAAUUGUCCUGCCGAGAUGGUUCCUGCAGCUUUUGCCUGAUUGAAAAUUUGCAUGUCCGGAGCAGCAUAAGUGAGUGAUCUGCAUUAAUAUAAGGAAUGAUUAUAGAAAAUAUAUAUUUCACUUAAUUGUCUGUUCUAUGGCAGAAAUAUGAAGAGGAGAAAUAACACCUACAUAGCUCCAAAGAGAAUGCUCAUAACUGCAGCAAUGACUUCGCCUCCAUUUGACUUCUGUACAGUGACUACAAUGGCUCCAAUCCAUAUGAUCAGUGCCCAAGAAACAAAUGUUACAGUUUGAAACAUUCCUGUUCCAACUCCCUUUAUCAGUGCUUCCCCCUUGUUGAGAGUGGCUCCAAUGACAAGAAUCAUAGGAAGAACUAACAGGGUAAGCAAUGACACUUCCCAAGAGCAAAUGGCUGCAAUCAAGAUUCCAGAGAAAAAGGUUGCAAAGCUCGACAGAAAAUGGGCCAACUGCCGCAGAGAAAUUAGGUUAGCACAUAACAUUACAUCCUUUUCUUUGUGAAUUUUUUUUUUUGUACUUCAGAAUUUGAAGAGAGAUUGAUUACAUAUAUAAGCAGUAAGGUGGGCACUUAGUGUGAUCUCUAACCUAUGAACUACAGACUAAAAGCCUAAAUGAUAGGAAGUAAGAAGUGAAUUAGGGUGUUUGUUAAAUGACAAGCCUUUUAUUUUUUUGACCUGUUUAUUUGUGCAUUGCAAGUAUGAUAAAACUAUUUAAAUCCUUCAAUUACUUGUAGAAAUGCUCUGCUAAUAUUAUCACAUA